This 406-nucleotide ribosomal RNA is filed under the name uncultured bacterium. Its description in RNAcentral is "partial 16S ribosomal RNA". It matches the Rfam family "Bacterial small subunit ribosomal RNA", at positions 30 to 526 of the family's 1533-position model. The record is from RNAcentral.
AUUGAACGCUGGCGGCAGGCUUAACACAUGCAAGUCGAGCGAGCGGCGGACGGGUGAGUAUUGUUUGGGAAACUGCUUGAUGGAGGGGGAUACCUACUGGAAACGGUAGCUAAUACCGCAUACCACCAGAUGUGCCCAGAUGGGAUUAGCUAGUAGGUGGGGUAAUGGCUCACCUAGGCGACGACCCCUUGCUGGUCUGCGAGGAUGACCAGACAAAAAGGAGCUGAGACACGGUCCAGACUCCUACGGGGGGCAGCAGUGGGGAAGAUUGCACAAUGGGCGCAAGCCUUAUGCAGCCAUGCCGCGUGUGUGAAGAAGGCCUUCGGGUUGUAAAACAAUUUCAGGGAGGAGGCAUUACUCGCAGAAAAAGCACCGGCGAACUACGUGCCAGCAGCCGCGGUAAUAC